UGGUGACUAAACGACAGUUUGGCUGUUGAGUUUCAUUUUCAUCUUUGCAACUUCCUCAAAAAUGGUGAGUAAGCUUUUUUGCACCGUCUGUUGAGAAGAAAAACGGGACUAAACGGCAAAAAUGAACAAUUGAACACACUAUCUUGUAUCCAUCUAUCGAUUUUGCCAAAACACCUCGAAAUCCAUUCAAGAGUUUUGACGCGCAGGAACGCGCGCACCUAAAAGGCUAUAAGGAAACCAUAUUUCAUUUCAGAAUUGGUUCAAAUUAUGUUAGGAUCAGGGUUUUAAUAAGGUAUGGGUCAGUAUUAUGUUUUGCAGGUCAGAAGUGUCCUAAUAGCCUCUGUCCCCGUGCGCAGAAACGUCUAUGCAAAUAUUAGGUGUAGUCUACUAUAUUUGCUCAGUCCUCUUAAAAACGUAGCUAUUUCAGUAAAUCAUUUGGCUAAUUUCAAAUUAAUAUGAACCUUCUAAUGAGUUUUCAUAAUAGCAGUAUCAGUUAUUGUAUAGGCCAAGUGAUCUAUUUAAUGGUUAUGACGUCAUCUUUCUCAUGACAGGACGCUGAACAACAGAAGAAGUAAGCCUUACCAUAUUCACUAUUAACAUGAAGUCUUCUUUUGAUAUUUCAAUAUAUUAAAUAAUUGCACACUUAUUUAUUUAAUAAAAAUCUUGUUCUGUCAUAACUGACAAAAAAUAUAUAUAUUUUAGGGCAGAAGAAUUUCUAUUGUCUGGAGCAAGUUUUAGGACAAAUGCCUUCAGAAUCAUCAACAUAAUGAUUAAACUAUGCAAAGACAAGCCUGGCUGUAAGGUGCAUGUGGAUGAGGUAUGUAUGCAUUUGAAGGUGUCAUUGGAUAGUUUAUCUUCUUUUCCUGCAUAAAACAACCUCAAAAAAUAUGAAUGAAUGGAUGGAUGGAUGGAUAGAGUCAUCCAGAAAUUAGGGUUAUGCAUCCAAAGAGACAAUCAUUUAAUUUGUACUUCUCAUAGCAAACCUGUGUUUGUCUCUAAGAUUCUCCACAGCAUCUUCUUCUUAGGUUUCAUUCAUAAACCCCAACAAUGCACCCCCAACGAUAUCCUUGGUGAACUUAUGCCUGAAAUGGAGAGGAUUUUCCCGAGACCAUUUGAGAAUUACACAAGUAAACUGCCCAAACGGACUCCGUUCUCCUCUGUGCUGGAUAUGGUGGUCUCCUUGCUUGGACCAGACAGUGAGAUCAAUAUACUGGAGAGACUGAAGGAAAUCGCCAAUAUCAUGUCAGAAGCCAAGAGUAAAUACCAGUUCACCUCCUCGACCAUCUGUGUCUCUCAAAGGAAGGAUGUUCAAAGAAGUUACUAUGGAGCGUCCAUGUCCUGCACGGGGAAGAAAGGACAGAUUAUGAUCGCUGUGUCCUGUCUGUGUACCUGGCACUACAGUGUAUCCAAUGCCGUGAUGACAUACAAGCCAGAUAAGAACAAGAGAAAUAACUUUGAUGGCACCAUGAAACUACAAGGACAUGUAAAGUGCCAGGCUUCCAAUGUGAAGAGUGGGGAGGAGAUGUCUCCUUGCAGGUCCUGUGGUCAUCUUUUUGGUCUGAAGGAACCAAGCAAUCAGAUGUGGCCCUAUGGGAACUGCGCAGAGGCAGAGAGCUUGAGCAAACUGCUCUAUGGAGAGGAAGAGAUUGUUAAGAAUGUAGUACCAUCAGUUGAUUGCAAAAUGCGAGAGCAAGUGGUGAAGGAGGUAAAGGCUCACCUGGAAGAGAUGCUCAAAGAGUCAGAAUUUCAAUGGGAUUCUUCCUAUUACAUUCCACAGUAGAUUGUCAGAGAAACGCAUGUGCGCACACGCACACACACACUAAGUUUACAGAUAUACAGAUGCACAUUCCUACUGUGACACACAGAUCCAAAACAUAUAAUCAUAGCUUGGUGCGGGGCUAGCAACAUGUGAUUUGUGUCUGACAGCUAGCAUUGAAACAUUGCCAAAGCAGUGAACCACUCUGUGCAUGUAGUAUACAGUAUAACUGCUAGGCUAUAGCUAUCGGCUCUUAUCAAUGACAUCUGUGAGGUAGAUGGUUCUUUUAGAAGGGGACCGUUGUUUAGAGUACCUCAUGGAGAUACCUGAAAUUGAAUUUAAUAUUCUAGUCUAGACAAAGCAUUUAACAUAUAUAUAUUUUUAAAGAUGAUUUUAAUUGGAAUUUUAAACUUUAUUUCUGUAUACUCUAGUUAUUAAUGCACAUUUUACUAAUCUGUAACAAAUUACUAAUACUGUAAACAUUGGUGUGAAUUCAUGUCUGGGUUGAUUUCUAGCUAUGUGAGGAAUUCAUCUAAUAAAGGAACUUAAAUUGUAACCAUUGUAAUGUAGCCUAUGUUGUCAUUUGUGUGUGUGACAGAGAGAUUUUCAGUGCUUACUGUUCUUAGUUUGCAAACGGAAGGGUGAAGAGAGUUGAAAUAGCAGAACAAAAAAACAGGAUGCUGAUAAAGUGAAGUGCAAUUAUUCAUGGUAUUGUGUAUUGGUAUAUUGAAGUGAAUAUACUGUAUGUGUGUGGGAAGAGAAAUUUCCUAAGAUUAAUAAAAACAUAAGGUUAACAACCUGCAUGAAUAAAUUGCAGUUACUUAUAUGACACAUGGAUAUGGAAAGACCAAGGGCUUUAUUUUCGGC
Oncorhynchus tshawytscha (Chinook salmon) is the source of this 2623-nucleotide long non-coding RNA. The record is from Ensembl. NCBI's taxonomy places the organism in Eukaryota, Metazoa, Chordata, Actinopteri, Salmoniformes, Salmonidae.